UUAAGUUCAGCGGGUAUCCCUACCUGAUCCGAGGUCAACCUUUAAGAAUGGGGGGUUGCUGGCAAGACACCACCCGGCGUCUAUAGCGAGGAGCAUUACUACGCUUAGAGCCGGAGGGCACCGCCACUGAUUUUAAGGCCCGCCCAGAGGCGAAUGGCCCAAGUCCCAAGCACGUGGCUGGAUUGGUUUAAAUGACGCUC
Molecule: unclassified non-coding RNA, 200 nt
Filed under: Helotiales sp.
Lineage: Eukaryota; Fungi; Ascomycota; Leotiomycetes; Helotiales
Description: partial internal transcribed spacer 2
Source: RNAcentral